GGGACAGACCUCUUGAAAGUAAAAGGCAGUUUCUCCAGGUUGUCCUGAUGGAAGGGUUUGAUUUUCAUGCAAAUAACAGAUUUAAUCAGCCAGAAUUCUCUUAACAACUUUCAGAAGGAUUAUGCUAAUUUACUGCUUUAAAAUCCGAGGUCUGUGGCAGACUUGCAGGUCUACAGAAUAUUUGUUUUUUAUCAUUUAUAAAAUCUUCCUCUGUGAAAUUACCAUGCAAACUAAGCUACAUUGGGAAGUAUUAGCUUUUCUCUCUACAAGGCCAUGCUAUGAGCCUGCCUCUCUCACACAUAUGAAAGAGCCACUCUGUGUUUCUCUAUAUUUAGAGGCUGAUAUACCUGUAGCUUAUUGGACUGCACAUUCGUUUCAAACUCUAGUACCACUGUGAAGAGCUUGUAGCAGAAGUUGCAGAUGCCUCACUACCAUCUUUAUAUGAUGCAUGGAAAUUUUUGUGUAAACUUGGCAAAAGUUUACAACAGGCAAACCAGAUGAAACCCAACAGAAUACCUUGGUUUCCAAAUGGAAAACAAACGUUAGUUGGCCUAACACUGCAUACUGAUUCCCACUCCCCAGGCAGUCAUUGGAUUAAAAAAUAAAAGUAGAAGCAGUCAGGAGAGUGGGAACAGGAACCAUCUCCCAGCCAAAAUGGUGAGGCAUGGCUUGCUCUUACUUCGCCACAUGCGUCUUGCAUUUGGUCCAGCUACAACAGGCAGCACGAGAGAUGCCCCACUCAAAACCCUAGUUAGUAAAUCUCUCUCUCUUCAGAAACAAGAUCCAAAUGUCUUCUAAGGCAGCAGAGGUAACUGAAGAGAAACCUGCCAGGUUUAGCUUCAGGCAAUACGUAAUUCUAGAAAAAGAAGCUGUUCCCAUAAUUCCCAAGACAGCUAGUUAUUUGUAUCCAGAUGUUCAACUGAAGCACUAAGAUACACUGAACAGUAAGUUCUUGGCUGACUUACCACCUGGCACUGAGCCAGGCACUCACUGCUCUUUGAUUUUUCUCUAGUUACUUGGAGAAUUUAGGAUGAAGCAGGGAGGCACCUAUUGAAGUGGGGCACUUGCUGGGGAAGGAGGAGCUCACUGAAGGAUGCAUCUCAGCAGGCACCUCACUUCUGCUGACAUCUCGAGAUGACACUGUGCUUUGUGGGAGCUUCAUGCACUAAUUCCUCUGCCACUACAGCAAAGAGUAUACCAGCCUCAGAGCAGGAGUGCUGAAUAAGUUUGUUGGGGAUCUAAGCAUUAGUUCCCCACUUAAAUUAAGGAAAUAAAACCUGAUGGGAUACAAUUAGAUAGUACUGUUAUUUUCCCCUGUGUCCAGGUCUUAAGAAUAAACUGAUUACAACCUAUAUGUGCUCUAAAUAGGCUAUCCAGGACUACAGGGACAGCCUGGAAUACCGGCUCCGCCAGGAAGCAAAGGAGAAAGUGGACAAACAGGUGUGAGUGGAGACAUUGGCCCAAAAGGAAGUAGAGGUGAUCCUGGAUUACCAGGGAGACCUGGCGUUCCUGGGUACUCUGGGCCAAAAGGUCGUAAGGGUGAGCAAGGUGUCAUCGGCUUUAUGGGCCCAGUAGGAUUUCCAGGUGAUUUGGGACCUAUCGGACCCAAGGGGGAUAGAGGACUGACUGGUAAGUGCAAUCAGGUGCAUGAUUCCUUUCUAAACUACUCAUUUUGCAGCUCCACAGAGCUGAUCUAACUGGCCUUGCUUUGAGUGGGAGGUUGGGCCAGAUGACCUCCAGAGUCUUCUACAACCUGCAUGACUCUGUGUGACCCCUGGCAAAUUCCAGUGGGCAGAUGCCUGAACUUAACAUGAGUAGCCAACUUUUUGCCUUUAUCAAUUUAUUUUGUAUGAGGGACCAGCUCCAAAAUCACAGCCUCUUUCAGGGUUAAAAAACAGAAGAAUUCCUGAUC
RNAcentral lists this long non-coding RNA (1912 nucleotides) under Strigops habroptila (Kakapo). RNAcentral describes it as "lncRNA (ENSSHBG00005008025.1)". The record is from RNAcentral. Lineage: Eukaryota; Metazoa; Chordata; Aves; Psittaciformes; Psittacidae.